CAGCCGCCACGGGAAUACAGAGGGUGCGAGCGUUAAUCGGAUUUACUGGGCGUAAAGCGUGCGUAGGCGGCUUCUUAAGUCGGAUGUGAAAUCCCUGAGCUUAACUUAGGAAUUGCAUUCGAUACUGGGAAGCUAGAGUAUGGGAGAGGAUGGUAGAAUUCCAGGUGUAGCGGUGAAAUGCGUAGAGAUCUGGAGGAAUACCGAUGGCGAAGGCAGCCAUCUGGCCUAAUACUGACGCUGAGGUACGAAAGCAUGGGGAGCAAACAGGAUUAGAUACCCGAGUAGUCCCUGUCUCUUAUAC
RNAcentral lists this ribosomal RNA (301 nucleotides) under uncultured bacterium. RNAcentral's name for it is "partial 16S ribosomal RNA". It matches the Rfam family "Bacterial small subunit ribosomal RNA", at positions 509 to 807 of the family's 1533-position model. The record is from RNAcentral.